This 2952-nucleotide unclassified non-coding RNA is filed under the name Polistes fuscatus (common paper wasp). RNAcentral's name for it is "ras-related protein Rab-9A, transcript variant X3". The record is from RNAcentral. Lineage: Eukaryota; Metazoa; Arthropoda; Insecta; Hymenoptera; Vespidae.
UAUUAUUAAAUAAAUGAUCGUAUUAUUAAAAUGUAAUAAAUCUAUACGCAUCGAAGAAAGAUAUAUCAAAUAAUUACUGUAUAUCGAUUAUUGAAAACCAUCGAAAAGAAGGUUAUGCUUGUCGUCAAGUGAAAAAUUUUAUGUGUAUGUAUGUGUAUGUAUUAUAUGCGUGCGUGUUACUAUACUAUUUAUUCACUUUUAAAUGAAUAACUAAAGAACAACAUGCCGAAUUAUUAAUAUUAUGUGUUAGAAAUAAGAUAAUUAUCAUUUUAAAUUAUCGUGUACCUGGAUGUUCGAAUUAACUAAUUUUGUUUAUCUAAGAUAUAUAUACAAUAUAUAUCUAGAAAUCAUUUCUUUUCAUUGGAAAUUGUCUGAUAUAUCAUAGAGAUUUGAUCUGAAAAGAAGACGCUGAAUAUUUUGACAAAUUUGUAUCAAUGUUAUACAAGCUAAUUUAAAGAUAAGAAAAAGAUUUAAAUAUAUUUGUAAAAUGUCUGGAAACAAUGCAAUGACAGUAGAUACGCUCAGAAGUGGGAACAUACCCAAUCGUAAUUCGACAAGAUCAACGCUUUUGAAAGUAGUGAUUUUGGGUGACGGCGGAGUUGGAAAGUCUUGUCUUAUGAAUAGAUUUGUAUCCAAUCAUUUUGAUGAACACAAUUUUUAUACCAUCGGUGUAGAAUUUUUAAACAAAGAUAUAGAAAUCAAUGGUGAAUCUUAUACUUUACAAAUAUGGGAUACAGCAGGACAAGAAAGAUUUAAAACUUUGAGAACUCCGUUCUAUAGAGGUUCUGAUAUUUGUCUUUUAACUUAUGCUGUUGAUGAUAAAACAAGUUUUAAGAAUUUAGCUCUGUGGAGAUCAGAGUUUCUUUAUUAUGCUGAUGUCGAGGAAGCAUCUACGUUUCCAUUUAUAGUUGUAGGAAAUAAGGUGGAUGUUGUGGAAUCGGAGAAACAAGUAACCACAGAAGAAGCCAAAGCAUGGUGUGCAGAAAAUGGGGAUCCACCAUUGGUAGAAACGUCUGCGAAGGAUGCAACUAAUGUAGAAGCAGCUUUUGCAGCAGCUGUUGCUGCAUGGGCACGACUGGAAGCUAAAUUAGAACAUCCGAUAGUUGAAGAUACCGUCGACCUUUCUAAACAACUGUCUCCGCAACGUUCCAGUUGCUGUAUGCCUGUUUCCGGUGCCGAAUCUACAUUUGUGACCAGCUAACUGAAAUGGGUUCUUAUGAAGAUAUAGACAUGAUAAGAAAUAUUUAUGAUACGAAUCAACAUUUUUGGAAGGAACACUUUAGAGUUUCUUUACAAUUGGAAGGAACAUAAUGCGUCUCAAAUUGAACUAAUUCCUAAAAUGGUGUUUAAACUGUAUUUAGGAUGUAUAAGGACAUUGUACCAAAUAAUGUAAGAGAGAGAUUAUUAUUUUCCUUUGAUUUCAACGAUUGACAGUCUACUUAUUUAGUUUCUUAACAUUCUUCCACAAUAGCAAAAUUCAUUUUGUAGCACUUUGUUCGAUAUUAAACCAAGAUUCUUUUUAAUUAUAUCUAACUAGGUCUAACAAAAUAAUUUGAAGAGAAUCUUGCCCAGCCUUCAAUACUCGAUUGUUAAUUACGAGGCCAAUGUUUCAAAUAUGCUUGAAAUAAGUCCAUGAACAAAUAUUUCGGUAUAAUAUUUCUUGUGUGUUAUAUAUAACAAUUUUUUAGAUGUUUUCUCAAGAAAAAUAUUUAUGUUAUUAAAGUUUCUGCACAAAUCUUAUUAACAGGACUGUUAGUUUUAAUUUGCUAUUAUUAUAGUACGUGCUCCGUAUAUCUUUGAGUAUCUUACAUACAAAUUAUAAAAAAAUAAUUAACGUGUAAGAUACGUAUUGCUGGAAUAUUAAAAAAGAAAGGAAAAAAAAAAACAAAGAGAAAGAACAAUUAAUAAUAUUUCAAAAUGUGCUUUACACAGAUCGUAAGCUAUUGACAGUAUUUUAAGUGUUAUACACAUCAUCAGCUUGUGAUAAAUAUAGUAAUAAUACUAUUAAUAAUAAGAAUAAUAAUUAAUGAUUAUUAUAAUAAUAACGAUAAUAAUAAUUAAUUGUUUUAUUACGUAAAACAUACAACAUAUAAAAAGAUUAUAAUUAAGCUUCGUAACGUAAAUUUGCCUUAUCAUUGCAGUAUAAAAUUAAGAACAGUAUGAUAACUAUAUUUCUAUUUAUGAUAUAUUCCUUUAAAUUAUCAAUCUAUAUACAGAAUGUCUGAGAUUUUUUCAGCUAAGCUGCGUCAGCGUAUUUUAUCUAGGAAAAUUAGAACAAAAUGUUAAAUAAACAUAGGUCAUUUAAAGCUUUAUUUAAAAGCUGCAAACAUUUGUUAUAUAUUUGAUUUGUGCAACAGAAAUACUCGAAUUGUUGUAAGUGAGUAUCAAUGCAAAUUUCUUGGCAGAAGAGUCAAGUAUUUCUCAGUGUUUUCGAAUGUACAUUCAUAAUCACGUGAAACAGGUUCACUGUCCUACAGUAGUGUCUAUUAUUUUUUUAUUUUUAUACAUAGAAUAUGCUAACACCGUUUGGUUGGAGAAACCUCAGAUAUCCUGUAUAUAUACACAUAAUAUCUACAUUUAUAUGUAUAUGUAUACAUAUAAAAUUAACAUUUGUAUGAGAAGUACAGAAUAUUUUGCGCUAACUGUUUGACAAUUUUCCUACGAAAAUAAUAAUAAUAAUAAUAAUAAUGAUAAUGAUAAUAUGCGAGAUAAAAAGAAAGCUUUUUGGAUGAGUGUGUACAUAUCUGAUAAGUUCUUAAAGCAAUAGAAUUCUACUUUAAAGCUUUAGAAAUGUGUUAUACGCUAUUGCAAAAAAGUACACGAAUAUAUUGUAUGACAAAUUGUUCUUAAGUAAAAAAUUUGAGAUCAAUCAUGUACACGACAUGCAUGCUGGUGCUUUUUGUAUAGCUCUAUGUGAAACGUAUAAAUUUAUAAUAAAAUAUGAAGUAUUAA